This is a long non-coding RNA of Raphanus sativus (radish), 519 nucleotides long. RefSeq lists it as uncharacterized. Lineage: Eukaryota; Viridiplantae; Streptophyta; Magnoliopsida; Brassicales; Brassicaceae. The record is from RefSeq and is a predicted model, not a curated record. The transcript is spliced from 4 exons.
AUUAUUUUUACAAUCAAAUCCCAUUGUUCUUCUUCAUUCUCUGAUACCAACAAUGGAGUUUCGAGGUAUUCAAUUCACAUGAAGAAUCGUUGUGUGAAUCUUCAAUGGUGACGUUUUGUCUCUUCCGUUCAAGUCAACCGAAGCGUUACGAUUGUUGUCUCUGCACCUAUAAAAAGGCAAUUGAAGAAUAAAGUUGAGAACAAUGAAGGUCUGCCUCAACCUUCUUUGGGAAGCUGCAAUGAUCGUGCAAGGAAACUCCAUGCUUCUUCUUCAGUGAUGAUGAACUGCUAUUUACUGAUAUAAAUGCCAAAGGAAGAGGUUGAAAGAUGGAACAACAACUAAGAUAAGAAGAAGAAGAGAGUAAAGGGAUGAUGAGGAAACAUGAGUCUGAUGCAGAGCUAAAAUGAGAUUUGUCAGAUGAAGGAGAGACCAAAAGAGAUUAAAAUCAUGUACAUGGCUAACUAUCAGACUUAAAAGUCUGUGUUAUUUUCUUCUUCUAUACAAAGAUUCAUUUUUUCC